This 440-nucleotide ribosomal RNA is filed under the name uncultured bacterium. Its description in RNAcentral is "partial 16S ribosomal RNA". It matches the Rfam family "Bacterial small subunit ribosomal RNA", at positions 338 to 795 of the family's 1533-position model. The record is from RNAcentral.
CCUACGGGAGGCAGCAGUGGGGAAUAUUGGACAAUGGGGGAAACCCUGAUGCAGCGACGCCGCGUGAGUGAAGAAGUAAUUCGGUAUGUAAAGCUCUAUCAGCAGGGAAGAAAAUGACAGUAUCUGAGUAAGAAAACCCGGCGAACUACGUGCCAGCAGCGGCGGUAAAACGUAGGGGGGAAGCGUUAUCCGGAGUUACUGGGUGUAAAGGGAGCGUAGACGGGAGUGCAAGUCUGGAGUGAAAGGCGGGGGCUCAACCCCCGCACUGCUCUGGAAACUAUAUGGCUGGAGUGCAGGAGAGGUAAGUGGAAUUCCUAGUGUAGCGGUGAAAUGCGUAGAUAUUAGGAGGAACACCAGUGGCGAAGGCGGCUUACUGGACUGUAACUGACGUUGAGGCUCGAAAGCGUGGGGAGCAAACAGGAUUAGAUACCCGUGUAGUC